CACACACACACACACAUAGCUACCGGUUGGCACGACGGCCGUCGAAUCGAUUGCCGAUCUUCGCAGUGUGGAAAAAAUGUUGCCAAAAAAGCACGGCUGGGUGAUCGGAGUGCGAGCGACGAUCCGAUACCUUACCACGAAAAGUGCCCCCAAGCCGGAGCUCAAGUACACCAGCACGGUCAAUCUGCCGAAAACCAAGUUCCCCGCCCGGCUGAGUGCGGAAAAACGGGCCCAGGUCGAGGAACAGCUACGCAAGAGCUGCUUGAGCGAACUGUACCACUGGAACAGGAGCGCGCUGCCGGCGGACAGUGAGUUCAUCCUGCACGAUGGUCCACCGUACGCGAACGGUGAUCUGCAUAUGGGCCAUGCGGUCAACAAAAUCCUGAAGGAUCUCAUACUGAAGCACAAAAUCAUUGGCGGCACGCGGGUACACUACGUGCCGGGCUGGGACUGUCACGGGUUGCCGAUCGAGCUGAAAGCGCUGGAAGCGUUCAACCGGAAAAGGGCCAAACCGGCGGGUUCAACCGGUCAAACGGCACGCGAAAUCCGCCACACGGCGCGACAGUUUGCGCUAGAAACGAUCGACAAGCAGAAGGCCGGGUUCGAAUCCUGGGGUGUGACCGGCGCUUGGCACGAUGCCGAGGGUUGCUAUCGAUCGCUCGACCCUGCCUACAUUAGUGCCCAGUUGCAGCUGUUUUACGAGCUGUAUGAGCGGAAACUGAUCUAUCGCGAUCUGAAACCCGUCUACUGGUCGCCCUCGUCCCAGUCUGCGUUGGCCGAGGCGGAACUGGAGUACGACGAGGCGCACCAGAGCCCUUCGCUGUACCUAAAGCUAGCGCUCGAGAAUGGAGGUGCCGACUGUGCAGCGCUUCGCAACCAUCGCCCGGAGGGGGGUGAGAUAUACGCCGCCAUCUGGACGACCACUCCCUGGACACUGCCCGCCAAUCAGGCCGUGUGCUACAAUCCCGCGCUCGAUUACUGCCUAGUACGCUCCGCUGCCGCCGGUGAGCUGCUGCUCGUGGGGAAGGAUCUCAUCGACUAUCUAGCCACGCAGCUGGAAACUGCACUGACGGUGCUGCAAACCAUACCCGGCCGGGAGCUGCACACUCUGAAGUACCACCAUCCGCUAAACCGCCAGACGGUGCUGCCAUUUUUACCGGCCGCCCACGUGAAGGCAGAAAAGGGUACCGGACUGGUGCACACGGCACCGGCCCACGGGCCGGAAGACUUUCUCGUGUGCUUGGAGCGCAAGAUAGCGAUCGAGAAUUUGAUCGAUGAGCGGGGCCGGUACACCGACCGGGCGCCUCCAUUCCUGCACGGGAAGUAUGCCCUCACCGAGGGCAACCAGCUGGUGACGGAGGCACUCGCCGGCUCUACGCUCAAACUAACCACCCUCGUGCAUUCGUACCCGAUCGAUUGGCGCACGAAACAACCGGUCAUGCUGCGGGCCAGCGAUCAGUGGUUCAUCGAUACCGACAGCCUGAAGCAGCGCGCGCUGGAGGAAAUCAAAUCGGUCGACAUCUAUCCGCGCACGUCGUCCGACGUGAGCAAGAAGGUGAUCGAAGGCCAGCUGCGCAAACGGCCGUACUGGUGCAUUUCGCGCCAGCGUGCCUGGGGCGUACCGAUUCCCGCGCUGUACGACACGGUGACGAAGCAACCGAUCGUUAGCGGACCGCUGAUUGCCGCCAUCGAUGCACGGCUGCAGAAGGAAGGGAGCGUAGACUUCUGGUGGACGGCACCGGUGGAGGAGCUCGUACCGGCGGCAGUGCUGCAGGAGCUCGGUCUCACCCCCGACCGGGUGACGAUGGGCAGGGACAUUCUCGACAUCUGGUUCGAUUCGGGCGUUUCGUGGCUGACCGUGUUGGGGAAGGAGCGCGUCGCCGACCUGUACCUGGAGGGUGUGGAUCAGUUUACCGGCUGGUUCCAGUCGUCCCUGCUGACCAGUGUGGCGGCCCGCGGCAAAGCGCCGUACCGGGCCAUCUUUGUGCACGGCUUUGCGGUGGACGAGCACGGCAUGAAGAUGUCGAAAUCGCUCGGCAACGUGAUCUGCCCGCAGCAGUUCGCAAAGCAGUACGGUUGCGAUGCGCUACGGUGGUGGGUGUGUGCGCACGCCAUACAGAACACCUCGAUUCCGGUCAGCCACAAGCUGCUCGGCUCGUCGGCGGAGAGCGUGCAGAAGCUGCGCGGCAUUUUAAAGUUUCUGCUCGGCGUGGUGGCGCCCCGUGGUCCGGAGGAAGGCAAGCCAUCGCCUGCCAUUGUGCUCGAUGCGUCGCCGCACAUCGAUCGAUACUUUCUGCACGAGCUGGAAGGCUUCCAUCGCCAGGCGUUCGAGCUGUACGACUCGUACCAGCACAACAGGGCGACGGCGGUCAUACUUAACUUCUGCCUGUCGACACUGUCCGGGCUGUAUCUGCACGUGAUCAAGGACCGGCUGUACUGUGGGUCGCCCGAGCAGCACAGCCAUUUGAGGGCGAUCCUCGACCACACCUAUCGCACGCUGGCACAAGUGCUGUGGCCGAUCGUACCGUUCCUGGUCGAAGAGAGCUGGACAUUUUAUGAGCAAGAUUAUUUCUACAAAUCCAAGCCACAAACGCAGCAAAGUGUUUGCCGGAGUGGAGACGAUGCGGCGGCAUCGGUACAAGCUGUUCAGUGUGCUCUCGCGCUACGUCACGCCGUCUAUCAGCAGGCACAGCUGAACGUGAACACCUGGCUGCUGGAGGUGGCCGUUGAGUGCAACGAUAACGAUCUGGCCCUCCUAUCGAUGCUACAUCCCGCCUUGAACGGACACGAACACUCGACGGAACUCUGCGAGCUGCUACAGGUUGGUUCCGUCGCGCUGCGUAAAGGAGCGCCGAAGCAGGCUGGUGCUGAAGGAACUCGGUUCACCGUCACCGUCACCAAGUCUGACAAAACGCUUUGCCCGCGUUGCCGGCGAUUCUUGGUGUCGGAAGCGCAACCGAUCUGUGAACGGUGCAGUACAGUGUUAGGACGACAGUAGCUCUCGGGCGGCUUUCGGAUGCCUGCAAUUGUGGGACUCCAGUCUGGCAAACGGCGGGAAUGGUUUUAAGUUGCUGUAAAUGAUUGUUGCUGAUAAAUGGGUGAAAGGCAAACCGAAGUGGCUUUGUUGUGUACGGUAAAAUGCUUUGCUCAGUAAUGUAAGUAUGUACAGAACGAUGAAAAAUGAAGUUGUAGGGAAAAGAAGAACGGAAAAAUAGAAGCAAACAAAAAUUAAAACCAAAA
Anopheles gambiae (African malaria mosquito) is the source of this 3240-nucleotide RNA transcript. It is a transcript of the gene named isoleucine--tRNA ligase, mitochondrial, with no coding region annotated. Lineage: Eukaryota; Metazoa; Arthropoda; Insecta; Diptera; Culicidae. The record is from RefSeq and is a predicted model, not a curated record. The transcript is spliced from 4 exons.